UUAGUUUAUUUGAUAUGGACUCGGACUUCACUGAUAGACGAGGUUGUAAGGGCCUCCGGCGGGCGCUCGCCGGCCCAGGCGAUCGAGAUCAAACCCGGAGCCGGCAUGGGCGAAGGGCUCCAAGGCCCGCCAAAGCAACAGAGGUACGGUAGGCACAGGGUGAAGAGGUGGGGGCCGGAGCCCCCGGGAGCGCGUGGCCCCUCUCUCAGUAAUGAUCCUUCCGCAGGUUCACCUACGGAAA
This 241-nucleotide unclassified non-coding RNA is filed under the name uncultured fungus. RNAcentral's name for it is "sequence contains ITS1". The record is from RNAcentral. Lineage: Eukaryota; Fungi.